AAUGCGAUAAGUAAUGUGAAUUGCAGAAUUCAGUGAAUCAUCGAAUCUUUGAACGCACCUUGCGCUCCUUGGUAUUCCUUGGAGCAUGCCUGUUUGAGUAUCAUGAAAUCUUCAAAGUAAAUCUUUUGUUAACUCAAUUGGUUUCUACUUUGGUAUUGGAGGUCUUUGCAGCUUCACACCUGCUCCUCUUUGUUCAUUAGCUGGAUCUCAGUGUUAUGCUUGGUUCCACUCGGCGUGAUAAGUUAUCUAUCGCUGAGGACACUGUAAAAGGUGGCCAAGGUAAAUGCAGAUGAACCGCUUCUAAUAGUCCAUUGACUUGGACAAUACUUUUAUGAUCUGAUCUCAAAUCAGGUAGGACUACCCACUGAACUUAAGC
RNAcentral lists this unclassified non-coding RNA (376 nucleotides) under plant metagenome. RNAcentral describes it as "partial contains 5.8S ribosomal RNA, internal transcribed spacer 2, and large subunit ribosomal RNA". The stretch from base 1 to 103 matches the Rfam family "5.8S ribosomal RNA", at positions 52 to 154 of the family's 154-position model. The record is from RNAcentral.